AUUCCGUAGGUGAACCUGCGGAAGGAUCAUUACAGAGAUAUGCCCUCCGGGGCAGACCUCCCACCCUGAAUAAUUUACUCUUGUUGCUUUGGCAGGCCGCCCUCGGGCCCCCGGCACUUGCUGCUGGGGAGCGCCUGCCAGAGGACCCCAACUCUUGUGUUUAGUGUCGUCUGAGUACUAUAUAAUAAGUUAAAACUUUCAACAACGGAUCUCUUGGUUCUGGCAUCGAUGAAGAACGCAGCGAAAUGCGAUAAGUAAUGUGAAUUGCAGAAUUCAGUGAAUCAUCGAAUCUUUGAACGCACAUUGCGCCCCUUGGUAUUCCGGGGGGCAUGCCUGUUCGAGCGUCAUUUCAACCCUCAAGCCUAGCUUGGUCUUGGGCUCUGCCGGCAACGGUUGGCCUUAAAAUCAGUGGCGGUGCCAUCGAGCUCUACGCGUAGUAAUUAAACCCUCGCGUGUGAGUCCCGGUGGAUGCUUGCCAGUAACCCCCAAUUUCUAUGGUUGACCUCGGAUCAGGUAGGGAUACCCGCUGAACUUAAGCAUAUCAAUAAGCGGAGGAAAAGAAACCAACCAAUC
This 573-nucleotide ribosomal RNA is filed under the name uncultured Helotiales. Its description in RNAcentral is "eukaryotic LSU rRNA". The stretch from base 194 to 347 matches the Rfam family "5.8S ribosomal RNA". The record is from RNAcentral. Lineage: Eukaryota; Fungi; Ascomycota; Leotiomycetes; Helotiales.